Molecule: ribosomal RNA, 460 nt
Filed under: uncultured Treponema sp.
Lineage: Bacteria; Pseudomonadati; Spirochaetota; Spirochaetia; Treponematales; Treponemataceae
Description: bacterial SSU rRNA
Rfam family: Bacterial small subunit ribosomal RNA
Source: RNAcentral
ACGGGAGGCCGCAGCUAAGAAUAUUCCGCAAUGGACGAAAGUCUGACGGAGCGACGCCGCGUGGAUGAUGAAGGCCGGAAGGUUGUAAAAUCCUUUUAUAACUGAGGAAUAAGUAUUAUCAGAGAAAGGUAGUAUGGUGACUGUAGGUUAAGAAUAAGCAACGGCUAAUUACGUGCCAGCAGCCGCGGUAACACGUAAGUUGCGAGCGUUGUUCGGAAUUAUUGGGCGUAAAGGGCAUGUAGGCGGAUAUGCAAGCUUGGUGUGAAAGGCGGGAGCUCAACUCCCGAACUGCGUUGAGAACUGCAUAACUAGAGUGACUGAGGGGCAGGCAGAAUUCCAGGUGUAGGGGUGAAAUCUGUAGAUAUCUGGAAGAAUACCAAUGGCGAAGGCAGCCUGCCAGCAGAUGACUGACGCUGAGGUGCGAAGGUGCGGGGAGCAAACAGGAUUAGAUACCCUGGUA